RNAcentral lists this ribosomal RNA (500 nucleotides) under Legionella anisa. RNAcentral's name for it is "bacterial SSU rRNA". It matches the Rfam family "Bacterial small subunit ribosomal RNA", at positions 237 to 729 of the family's 1533-position model. The record is from RNAcentral. Lineage: Bacteria; Pseudomonadati; Pseudomonadota; Gammaproteobacteria; Legionellales; Legionellaceae.
CCGAUUAGCUAGUUGGUGGGGUAAGGGCCUACCAAGGCGACGAUCGGUAGCUGGUCUGAGAGGAUGGCCAGCCACACUGGAACUGAGACACGGUCCAGACUCCUACGGGAGGCAGCAGUGGGGAAUAUUGGACAAUGGGGGGAACCCUGAUCCAGCAAUGCCGCGUGUGUGAAGAAGGCCUGAGGGUUGUAAAGCACUUUCAGUGGGGAGGAGGGUUGAUUGGUUAAGAGCUGAUUAACUGGACGUUACCCACAGAAGAAGCACCGGCUAACUCCGUGCCAGCAGCCGCGGUAAUACGGAGGGUGCAAGCGUUAAUCGGAAUUACUGGGCGUAAAGCGUGCGUAGGUGGUUGAUUAAGUUAUCUGUGAAAUCCCUGGGCUUAACCUGGGCAGGUCAGAUGAUACUGGUUGACUCGAGUAUGGGAGAGGGUAGUGGAAUUUCCGGUGUAGCGGUGAAAUGCGUAGAGAUCGGAAGGAACACCAGUGGCGAAGGCGGCUACC